GAGGCUGUUCCAAGGGACGGGAUCUCCUACACCUGGCGAAGCCUGCUGCAUGGACUCGAGCUAGUUAAGCAAGGCUAUAUCUGGCGCAUUGGAGACGGGUCUGAAGUUCGGGUUUGGAAGGACCCAUGGAUUCCUCGGCCGGGGUCGCGACAUGUCAUCACCCCUAGAGGGGACAACUUACUCGAGUAUGUUACUGAUCUGAUAUCUCCAGUCACCGGGACAUGGGACAAGCAACUUGUCCGUGACACGUUCUGACCGGACGAUACACGCCACAUUUUACAGAUACCUUUGAGGGAAGGAGUGCCUGACUUCAUAGCCUGGCAGUUUGAUGACAAAGGAAAGCUCUCAGUGAAAAGCGCCUACAAGCUUCAUGUGCACCUCGGUAAGCAGGCAAAGAAUGGAGGGCAGGGUGCAAGUAUUGCACAGGUGGGCAAUCUGAACAUAUGCAUGGAUGAAUCUUGGAAGAGACUUUGGAAACUACCAUGCCCCAAGAACAUUCAAAUGUUCGCUUGGCGACUAAAACAUGAAUCGUUGGCUCUCCGUACAAGUGUGCAAAGAAGGGGUAUACCCAUAGAAGACACGAAGUGCCUAUUCUGCAGCAGGGCUGAUGACGACGGAGCGCAUCUUUUCAUACGAUGCAAAUCAGUCAAGCUGGUAUGGCGGGAGCUAGGCCUAGAGAAUGUCAGAGCACAGCUAGAAGAAAUAACAUCUGUGCAUGUUAUGUUUGAUUUCAUGUGGGGUUUGAAUGAGGAGGAACAGGUCCUGAUCCUUACGGCCUGGUGGUUGUGGUGGAACAAUAGGAAUAAGCUCAGGGAGGGGGAGCUGCCAGCAGGAACCAGCGAUAUUGCGAGACGUGCGCGGGCUAUGGUUUUCGACUAUGCUGAAGCCUUCAAGCCACCAGAUCAAAAACACGGCGCCAAGGAUAUUUGGAUGCCGCCGGGGGAGGACAUGAUCAAAAUAAACCUUGAUGGGGCCUUUACACCUGGCGAAUCCUUCAUUGGGUGGGGUGUGGUUGCACGAGAUGUAUCAGGCCACAUUGUAAGUGUUCGAGCAGGGCGCCAAGAUCACGUUCAAGAUGCGUUUGGGGCUGAAGUUUAUGCUAUGUCACAGGCUGUUACGCUUGCUGCGGAUCUGGGAUUAACCCGGAUGUUCUUCGAGACUGACUCCCAGCUUCUGGUUGAUGCCCUUGAUCUUGGCAAGGUGGACUCAUCGGCAUACGCCGCAGUGAUCGAGGACUCGAAAAUGCAACUCAAGCUAUGGUUCUCCCAACAUAAAAUCAUGUACUGUGGGCGUAGGGCGAAUUUCGUAGCGCAUGAGCUAGCUAAGAUUGGUCAUAUGUAUCCUCCCAACCAGUUUGUGGAAUGGGAUUCUGAUGUACCUGCCCACGUGGCAUCUUGUGCUGUGGGCGAUAUGGCCCAGCACCGUUAA
Molecule: ribosomal RNA, 1428 nt
Filed under: Triticum aestivum (bread wheat)
Lineage: Eukaryota; Viridiplantae; Streptophyta; Magnoliopsida; Poales; Poaceae
Description: partial small subunit ribosomal RNA
Source: RNAcentral